This is a long non-coding RNA of Ochotona princeps (American pika), 476 nucleotides long. RefSeq lists it as uncharacterized. The record is from RefSeq and is a predicted model, not a curated record. Lineage: Eukaryota; Metazoa; Chordata; Mammalia; Lagomorpha; Ochotonidae. The transcript has 3 exons.
CGCCGCUCUCGGGUUUUCUUCCGCCUUACACAUUAUGGAGACUCACAGAGCCGUUGCGGGGGCUGCUGGAGAUACAACCCGCUACCCUGAAAAUGAAGGGGUGGAAGAUGACACCGAUCCGCAAAAGAGGAGCAGGGAUUCCAAGGCAGUCUGGGGUCCCUUCGCAGUCUCUGCGGGGAGCCGAGGGAGGUCGCAGAUGCGACCAUUGAGCAAUUUUGUAAGGUCCCUGUCCUGCUCUUCCGAGAUUUUUCGUGAGCUGGUCCUCCGUUCGUGACACUCUCAGUAGAUUUGGUUGAAUCGCAUAUAGAAACAUUUAGGGUCAGGAGGACGCUCAGUGGAGAGACCCAGGCUAUGUAGUCCUACAGACCUGCAGGAGUGCUCUUGGCAAUGGGUCUUGGAGAAAGAAGACAGCUAAGCCCACACUGGCAACAUUAAGGUAAACUCCUUUCCUGAAGGUUUUACCUGAUCAUUCUCUU